CUUUACAGUGAGCGCUCUGAGAUGGGAGUCAUCCAGCAACCUAGCACCAUAAUCAACGCUUUCAAAGGGAAAUGAAGACGGACAAGUCUGACUGCCAGACGCAGAACUCGCGCUGCACAAGUCCUGAGAUAUUUAACUCACUAGCUUUUCAAGAGAAAGAUGUACAGCAUGAUCAGCAGAUUUCCAUUUCUUAAAGAAACAGCGAAAGCGCCUGAGAGCAUUUUAAGGAAAAGGUCCGUGUACUCAUCUACAGUGUCAGUGCACACAAGCAGCGGAGUCUGCGGCGGCGGCGAGGCGCAGGUACCUGAACUGGCCCACUUCCAUGUACUCAAACUGCUUCAGCACAAACCCGAUGAACACCUGCGCGGGAACAGAGCUCGGUGUCAGUGACGGGAACGCGCCAGGCUUGUCUGCCGGCCAUCUGCGUGAAGUGCCAACCACUCCCUGAGCACGUGACUGGUCUACACUCCAGAACUCACAUCUGCUCUGAAGUCAGACCGCAUAUCUGCAGGAUACUUCCAGAAAUCGCUCUGAAGACAAGUCUGCUACACACUGAGGUGAGAUCGCACUGGAAAAACCCAGCAGGCAGCACCCAAUAUCCCCCCGAGGUCUCAGUCGUUCCAGGCAAUGACAAACCAGGCAGCACGCACUGCCUGGCACUGGCUUACUCUCAAUGCCCAGGUCAGUCCAUCUCUGUCCAGCGCUGGAUGAGAGCAGCCUUGGGCCACAGCCACCUUCUGCCCACCAGAGAGCAUGCACCGAGGGAACCUUGGGCACGAAGCAGGCCCACAGCAGGCGCCCAGCAGGUCGUUAUCUAACUGAAGAUAACGGCUUUCUGUUCUUGUCAUGAAACCACGGCACUGCAUGCUAACAAGCGGGGGAAAGGCACUGGAUGGCACCACCAAGUGCAGCGGGCUGGGUGUGGCGAUUCUUGUGUGACAGACAGAGAAACUUCCCAUGUUGCUGUUCACUCCCAAAAUGCCCGUAACAGCUAGCAUUGGGCUAGGGUGCAAGUCAGGAACUGGGGACUCAAGCCAGGGUCCCUGCGCAGGUGGCAGAAAUUCAAGGACUUGAGCCAUCCUCAGGAAGCUGGAGUCAAGAGCCAGAGGCAGGAACUGAAUCCAGGUACUGCAAUGUGCAAUGUCUCAACCACUAAGCUAAGCACCUGCUCCUGGGCACCAGCUCUGCUGGCUUGAGGCCAGCCAAGGGUGCUGGGCACAUUCGCAGAGCCAGGCUGUCCUCUCAGCACUCAUGUGUCAGAUGGAGAUUUCAGAAUGACAGAAAAGCAACAAAAAUGAUUCCAUUUCUGAAAAAAGGCUCGAGGUGUAAUGACUAUACACAGAACAGUCGAGGCUACCUGCCAGUCCUCUGGGAGAAGGUGCCUACUUCCUUUACAAAGUAGCCCCAAGGAAACAGCGAAUGGGCCAUGGCCACAUGAACACAUCAGUUUCCACCCACAUGAGAACCGGGAAGUGCGGGGGAACAGACCCAGCCUCUGAGGGGGCCUCGCCACAGCACCACCGCAGCGCACUGGUGUGGCCCUGAUGCCAUCAUGCCCACCUACAGCUGCUCCUCCUCGGCUCAGACCAGGGCUCCCGCGUGGGCCCUGCCCCAGACUCCUGUGUCAAAGGGAAGGGAAGGAAGUUCUGCAAUGAGCGUGCUCCCACGGAAGGAAAGGGCCGUACAGGGAUUUUCCUCUCACGGCUUUUGGAAAAGGAAUUAGAAACCUCAGGCAGGGGCAAGCCGAGUUCUGUGUUCCUGUUUCACUUCCAGUUAACCCCAUCACACCCCCUCCCAUGGAGAGAUGGGCGUCUUGAACACGUGUCCUGUGCAGCCUGGGCACGUCAGACCCCACACCAUAAGGCGCUGUCAACAUCUGCAGGUGUAUGAGUCUAGGAGGGAGGGAGAGGACAGUGUGUACCUGAGGACCACAUCUGCAGGUGUAUGAGUCUAGGAGGGAGGAGAGGACAGUGUGUACCUGAGGACCACAUCUGCAGGUGUAGGAGAGUCUAGGAGGGAGGGAGAGGACAGUGUGUACCCUGAGGACCACAUCUGCAGGUGUAUGAGUCUAGGAGGGAGGAGAGGACAGUGUGUACCCUGAGGACCACAUCUGCAGGUGUAUGAGUCUAGGAGGACAGGGAGAGGACACUGUGUACCCUGAGGACCACAUCUGCAGGUGUAGGAGAGUCUAGGAGGGAGGAGAGGACAGUGUGUACCCUGAGGACCACAUCUGCAGGUGUAUGAGUCUAGGAGGGAGGAGAGGACAGUGUGUACCCUAAGGACCACAUCUGCAGGUGUAGGAGAGUCUAGGAGGGAGGAGAGGACAGUGUGUACCCUGAGGACCACAUCUGCAGGUGUAUGAGUCUAGGAGGGAGGAGAGGACAGUGUGUACCCUGAGGACCACAGCUGCAGGUGUAUGAGUCUAGGAGGGAGGAGAGGACAGUGUGUACCCUGAGGACCACAUCUGCAGGUGUAGGAGAGUCUAGGAGGGAGGAGAGGACAGUGUGUACCUGAGGACCACAUCUGCAGGUGUAGGAGAGUCUAGGAGGGAGGAGAGGACAGUGUGUACCCUGAGGACCACAUCUGCAGGUGUAUGAGUCUAGGAGGGAGGAGAGGACAGUGUGUACCCUGAGGACCACAUCUGCAGGUGUAGGAGUCUAGGAGGGAGGAGAGGACAGUGUGUACCUGAGGACCACAUCUGCAGGUGUAUGAGUCUAGGAGGGAGGAGAGGACAGUGUGUACCUGAGGACCACAUCUGCAGGUGUAUGAGUCUAGGAGGGAGGAGAGGACAGUGUGUACCCUGAGGACCACAUCUGCAGGUGUAGGAGUCUAGGAGGGAGGAGAGGACAGUGUGUACCUGAGGACCACAUCUGCAGGUGUAUGAGUCUAGGACAGGGAGAGGACAGUGUGUACCCUGAGGACCACAUCUGCAGGUGUAUGAGUCUAGGAGGGAGGGGAGGACAGUGUGUACCUGAGGACCACAUCUGCAGGUGUAUGAGUCUAGGAGGGAGGAGAGGACAGUGUGUACCUGAGGACCACAUCUGCAGGUGUAUGAGUCUAGGACAGGGAGAGGACAGUGUGUACCCUGAGGACCACAUCUGCAGGUGUAGGAGAGUCUAGGAGGGAGGAGAGGACAGUGUGUACCUGAGGACCACAUCUGCAGGUGUAUGAGUCUAGGACAGGGAGAGGACAGUGUGUACCCUGAGGACCACAUCUGCAGGUGUAGGAGAGUCUAGGAGGGAGGAGAGGACAGUGUGUACCUGAGGACCACAUCUGCAGGUGUAUGAGUCUAGGACAGGGAGAGGACAGUGUGUACCCUGAGGACCACAUCUGCAGGUGUAGGAGAGUCUAGGAGGGAGGGAGAGGACAGUGUUUCUACCUGUGGAAAUUCCCUAACUACACAGAGAAGCAGCUCAGGGUCACAGCUCAUUUCAUGGCAACUCUGUUGCAAUGCACUUAAUGCAUGGCUCUUGUUUGAAAGGACUUUGCACUGGGGAUGGACAGGGUCCGCCAGAACCUCCAGCCACAGCCACCACAGCAGAAGGUGAGGUGUCUGGGAGGAACUUCCUGCGUGCCGCCACACAGCUCCCACCUGGAGUCUCGGGCCUUUGGGGAGAGGUGAGCUAACUGCCUGGAUUGCUGGCGGCUGCUAACCACAGGUGACCAACUGCAUUUGAAAGCACAUCACCAAAACAACGACUCUGCAUUCAGCUCACAGGACUGGCGGGGAGGGAAAGUCCAAGGUGCUAAAGGCCAACCCUCCCAGGGCACAGCUCAGCCUGGGCGGAGGCCUCCCUGUUGCACGCCAGGCUUUCUGCAGCAGUAACAGCAUCCAGUAGGUAAGAGGCAGCAGAGGGGGGAGAGGGGGAAGGCAAAUGCCGCAUUUCUCUAACGUCUUUUGACAGUCAUUUUCACUGAAUUAGGAAUAGGUAUGGUGAAGAAAAGAUUACGUGACAAACCUGAUCUGAAUCCAGAAGACAGUAAUUAACUCGCAGCUGAAC
This is a non-coding RNA of Oryctolagus cuniculus (rabbit), 4001 nucleotides long. The record is from RefSeq and is a predicted model, not a curated record. Lineage: Eukaryota; Metazoa; Chordata; Mammalia; Lagomorpha; Leporidae.